CUCUGCUUUAAUAUUCAUGAUUUUCUUCCAUCUGCUAACUUUGGGUUUAAUUUGGGUUUUUUAGGGGAGGGGACUCAAGAUGGCGCUGUGAGAACAACCCAGGAUUGGAGCCCGCGUUGAAUCCGCAAACGGAGUUUGUCACAGAACAACAUGGAAUGAGUCAGGAAUGGGGAGCAGGAUACCUUCUCAGAAUGGAAGAUAACGCAUACAAAGGAACUGAAAUAUGGACUCCUAGAGAACAGGGAGAGAUGAAGCAGAGUUGGAGAGUACUUGUGACCACUGAGCCAGUCUGCCAGGCCCGCCACAUCUCCCACCAGGAACUGUCACUGUGCUUAUUCUCAGCUUCUGGAAUCACCGCAUCAGGGCAUUCUCCCUGAAAGUGCUGGAGAGUUACCCCUGUGAGACACCCAGCCAAAGACAGGCAGGAGUGAUGGUGGAUACCACACCUUCCCCAGCCUGCCCUCUUCUCUCUGGAGGUGGAGGGAGAAUCCCCAGUUUGUCACCUUGGUCCUCACCUCCACUGCUUGUCCACUUGACUACCAGUUGUAACCCAUCCUAGCCACUCUUUCCAUAGAGAGGGAGACAAAAAGGAAUGGAAUUACUAAGUGCCUUUGUAACUAUAAAGGGCAGAAACCAAACUUACAUUCGCUCAAAGAAAUAGGAGAUAUAUUAGUUCACAUAACUAAAAAUUCCAGCAGUCUGUUAGCUUCAGGCACCAUGGGAGUCAGGAGCUCGAAUUAUGCCAUCUCCAUCUCCCAGUUCUUCUUUCUAAGGGGGGUUGUAUCCUAAUAGGGCUGAAAUUGAUGCUCACAGCUCCAGGAUUAGUGGCUUCAGUGGAAGGAGGACUCUUCUUCCUUGAUGGUUCUAGGAUAAGUCCAAGAUGGAGCUCUCACGAAUCUGACCUGAUAAUGGGCCAACUCUCGAUCUAUCACGGAUGCAGAGCAGCAAAGAUGCUCUGGUUGACCAACACAGACUCACGUAUGCUCUGCAGGACUUAGGCAGUGUUAGCUCCAUGCAAAACAUAUAGAGGAAGGUUAUUUGCUAAAGGAAAGUCCAGGUAAUGUUACCAGAACAAGAGAAGGAUGGAGAUUGGUUGGAAAACAACGGCAGUUACCCAACUCAGGAACUAACCAUGCUGAACAUAUACCAUGGUUCUGCCCCCUGCCAGGCUCUAUUUAUAUACUGCCACAGAGUCCUCAGAGGUCGACAUGAUCCCCCCAUUUCACAGAAGAGAAAACUAAGGUGGAGGAGGUAAAGCCACUUGUCCAGUGCCACACCGUUAGAAGGGAUGAUUUGACCGGUGUCCAGAUUAGAAGUUAUUUGCUUUUCUUCCGGGAGCUCUUGCCUCUACAUUCUGUUGGAUUUGGGUAUGACAAGCUGGCCCACAAGGCCGUAGUUUGGUGAUCAUGUGCUUCUCCAUCUACUGGUCAGAGCUGGCACCCAAGAGUAAGUGGCCUGAGAGGCUUCACUAGAGUCUCCAGCUUCACAUCCCCAUUCCCCAGAAUUCAAGAAGCAGAUUCCUGGCUCUCCUUGCUCAUGACUGUGGGGAUUUCCAAUUCUUUUUUUUUUUUUUUUUUUUUGAGAUGGAGUCUCACUCUGUAACUCAGGCUGGGGUGCAGUGGCACAGCAUCAGCUCACUGCAACCUCCACCUCUCGGGUUCCAGUGAUUCUCCUGCCUCAGCCUCCCAGGUAGCUUGGCUUAUAGGUUGUGCCACCACACCCAGCUCAUUUUUGUAUUUUUAGUAGAGAUGGGGUUUCACCAUGUUAGCCAGGCUGGUCUUGAACUCCUAGGUGAUCCCCCCCACUUCAGCCUCCCAAAGUGCUGGGAUCACAGGCAUAAGCCACUACACCCAGCAGGGAUUUCCAAUUCUCAGUCUCAUUGCAGAAGAGAAAAGAGCAGCUUGUCCAGCAGUUACUCAAUGAACACUCCUGUCCCCAUCAAGUCACCAUCUCUGCCCACCCCCUAGGUCUCCGUGAUGAUGUAUCUUUUCAGUUUUCCCUGGGAGUGGUGUAAUUUAUCCUUAAAUCUAUGGA
Callithrix jacchus (white-tufted-ear marmoset) is the source of this 2034-nucleotide long non-coding RNA. The record is from Ensembl. Lineage: Eukaryota; Metazoa; Chordata; Mammalia; Primates; Cebidae.